AAGUUUGAUUCAUGGUCUCAGAAUUCCACGCUGGUUAGNCAGCCUAACACAUGCAAGUCGAACGGUAACAGGAAGCAGCUUGCUGCUUUGCUGACGAGUGGCGGACGGGUGAGUAAUGUCUGGGAAACUGCCUGAUGGAGGGGGAUAACUACUGGAAACGGUAGCUAAUACCGCAUAACGUCGCAAGACCAAAGAGUGGGGACCUUCGGGCCUCUUGCCAUCGGAUUGUGCCCAGAUUGGGGAUUAAGCUAGGUAAGGUUGGGGGUUAACCGGGCUCACCUAAGGGCGAACCGAAUU
RNAcentral lists this ribosomal RNA (297 nucleotides) under uncultured bacterium. RNAcentral's name for it is "partial 16S ribosomal RNA". It matches the Rfam family "Bacterial small subunit ribosomal RNA", at positions 1 to 287 of the family's 1533-position model. The record is from RNAcentral.